UACGAAGGGGGCUAGCGUUGCUCGGGAUCACUGGGCGUAAAGCGCACGUAGGCGGCUUUCUAAGUCAGGGGUGAAAUCCUGGAGCUCAACUCCAGAACUGCCUUUGAUACUGGGAAGCUCGAGUCCGGGAGAGGUGAGUGGAACUCCGAGUGUAGAGGUGAAAUUCGUAGAUAUUCGGAAGAACACCAGUGGCGAAGGCGGCUCACUGGCCCGGUACUGACGCUGAGGUGCGAAAGCGUGGGGAGCAAACAGG
This 253-nucleotide ribosomal RNA is filed under the name uncultured bacterium. RNAcentral describes it as "partial 16S ribosomal RNA". It matches the Rfam family "Bacterial small subunit ribosomal RNA", at positions 524 to 776 of the family's 1533-position model. The record is from RNAcentral.